GUGAAUGUAAGGCUCUCUUCUUUGAAUGGAAUGCGUGAAAAAACCAUCGGUGUGGCCCUUGAAGCAGCUGGUGGUUUAUACAGAAAGCUUGCGAAAAAGUUUCCUAGGAAAGGACCUUGCAUAUUUAAAAGGCGGGAGUUGGCUACUUCUUUUGAAACAAGGGCAAGGUUUCCUGAAUUAGUGAUACAAGAGGAGAAGCGUGUCCGGUUUGUCGUGGUUAAUGGUUUGGCCAUUGUGGAAAAACCAACUAGCUUAUGUAUUGAUGAUGCAGAAUGGUUCAGAAGAAUGACUGGCCGAAAUGAAGUCACUGUAUCCCCCAGAGACUACAAAUUCUAUGCUCCAAGACACAAGUAUAGACGUG
RNAcentral lists this unclassified non-coding RNA (361 nucleotides) under Hevea brasiliensis (rubber tree). Lineage: Eukaryota; Viridiplantae; Streptophyta; Magnoliopsida; Malpighiales; Euphorbiaceae. The record is from RNAcentral.